AGUCGAUGGCAGAUGAUCGCUGGUGGACCGUUUUUGCGGUUCGCUGGAGGAAAGUCCGAACACCAUACGGCAGCAUGCCGCGUAAAAAACGCGGGCGCCGCAGUUGAAAAAUUGCGGUGACGGAGAGUGUCACAGAAAAGACACCGCCGGUUCUUUGAGAAAAGUGCAGGCAAGGGUGAAAAGGCGAGGUAAGAGCUCACCGCUCGCGAAGUAAUUCGCGAGGCACGAAAAACCCCAUGCGGUGCAAGACAAAACAGAGGAAGGGCAGCUGGCCCGUUUGAUCCUCGGGUAUCGUCGCAUCACGGCGAAUGAAAAUUCGCCGGGCGUCCAGCCCCAGUUUUGCGAGUGGAGAUGUCGAUCUUGGCGCGUCGCCAGCAAAACUGGAGCUGGAUGAGAUAAAUGAUCAUCCGGUCGCCACGGCGACCCGACAGAAUUCGGCUUAUCGCCAUCGAAAAUUA
This 458-nucleotide RNase P RNA is filed under the name Verrucomicrobiota bacterium. RNAcentral's name for it is "Verrucomicrobia bacterium RNase P RNA component class A". It matches the Rfam family "Bacterial RNase P class A". Rfam says of the family: Ribonuclease P (RNase P) is a ubiquitous endoribonuclease, found in archaea, bacteria and eukarya as well as chloroplasts and mitochondria. Its best characterised activity is the generation of mature 5'-ends of tRNAs by cleaving the 5'-leader elements of precursor-tRNAs. The record is from RNAcentral. Lineage: Bacteria; Pseudomonadati; Verrucomicrobiota.